GGUCGAGUGGUGUAGUGGUUUAUCACGUCUGCCUCACAACGUAUAUGCAAUAGCAAAUACUUGGACGCAGAAGGUCCCGAGUUCAAUCCUCGGUUCGACCU
RNAcentral lists this transfer RNA (101 nucleotides) under Fusarium oxysporum. Its description in RNAcentral is "tRNA-Val". It matches the Rfam family "tRNA". From Rfam's summary of the family: Transfer RNA (tRNA) molecules are approximately 80 nucleotides in length. Their secondary structure includes four short double-helical elements and three loops (D, anti-codon, and T loops). The record is from RNAcentral. Lineage: Eukaryota; Fungi; Ascomycota; Sordariomycetes; Hypocreales; Nectriaceae. RNAcentral also lists the same sequence under 2 other names.